GGGAAUCUUGCGCAAUGGGCGAAAGCCUGACGCAGCCAUGCCGCGUGAAUGAUGAAGGUCUUAGGAUUGUAAAAUUCUUUCACCGGGGACGAUAAUGACGGUACCCGGAGAAGAAGCCCCGGCUAACUUCGUGCCAGCAGCCGCGGUAAUACGAAGGGGGCUAGCGUUGCUCGGAAUUACUGGGCGUAAAGGGCGCGUAGGCGGACAGUUAAGUUGGGGGUGAAAGCCCGGGGCUCAACCUCGGAACUGCCUUCAAUACUGGCUGUCUUGAGUACGGGAGAGGUGUGUGGAACUCCGAGUGUAGAGGUGAAAUUCGUAGAUAUUCGGAAGAACACCAGUGGCGAAGGCGACACACUGGCCCGUUACUGACGCUGAGGCGCGAAAGCGUGGGGAGCAAA
Molecule: ribosomal RNA, 398 nt
Filed under: uncultured bacterium
Lineage: Bacteria
Description: bacterial SSU rRNA
Rfam family: Bacterial small subunit ribosomal RNA
Source: RNAcentral